UCAUUGCUUUAAUCUCUCAACACCUUCACAUUGCUAUUUCCUGUUGCCUUCUUUCUUUCUCCGCCCUUCGGAGUACUAUGGAGAAAAAGCUUGUCACAAUUAAAAGUACACAAGAUGUGGUAAUCCCGCCUAUGAGAUAUAUCUUCUGGUUUCGGUUGAUUCGAUUAUAAUGCCCAAAGAGAAAAAAUGCGUACAGCAACAACAAGAUGGGGGAUUGAAGAGUGGCCCAGAUGAGGAAAUUGUAGGCUUUGAUAACUGUGGAGGAAUGCAUGGCUCUUAUAUCUUUGGUUCCGUUCAAAAAUGCUAAGAGUAUUACAAAAGCCAUGGUUAUUUUCACACCCGAGAAAGCUAUGAUUCGCUUCAACUGGUCCCUAACUACUUUAAUUUUCUGUUCAUUUUCUCCUUCAUUGUCUUCUCCCUGUUGGUUUAUCUGCAGUUACGUCAAACAAGUAGUAAGUGUUUUGUAUAUACAUA
Long non-coding RNA from Ananas comosus (pineapple), 474 nucleotides. RefSeq lists it as uncharacterized. NCBI's taxonomy places the organism in Eukaryota, Viridiplantae, Streptophyta, Magnoliopsida, Poales, Bromeliaceae. The transcript has 2 exons. The record is from RefSeq and is a predicted model, not a curated record.